UCCCGCGAGGGCCGCGCGGGCGGGCGGGGGCGGAGGCCACGAGGCGUGGCGUCCACACCGACGCGGGGAAGAUGGGCCCGAAAGGGACUCCCGCCCGCGGCCCGGCCUCCCAGCGCCUCCGUUGUUCCCCGGCGCCUGCCUUUCGGCGGCUCGCAGAUGCCUCCGGUCCCCACGGUGCCUCCGAAAAGCAGGUUAUGAGGUUGAUGUGAGGGAAUGAUAAAAAGCAUAUUCCCGCCUCCCCCAGCUUGCCAGCGGGGUGUGUGCAAGAACCAAGGGAGAGGCAAUAGAACUGUUGAAAGGGAGGACUGAAGACCUUUCAAAUGAAGGGAGAGCAAGAAAAUUAGGGGAAAUAGUUUCCUACAGAAGAUCUUGGGAGCCCUCGCUGGAUUGGCCCAGUGGAUAGAGCACUGGCCCUCGGACUGAAGGGUCCUGGGUUGGAUUCCGGUUUCGGGCAUGUACCUUGGUUACAGGCUCCACUCCUGGCCCUGAUCGGGGCACCUGUGGGAGGCAACCAAUGGAUGGGUCUCUUUCACAUCAAUGUUUCUCUCUCUGUGUCUCUCCCCUCCCUCACACUCUCUCUAAAAAUCAAUGGAAAAAUAUCCUUGAGUGAGGAUUAACAGCAACAACAACAAAAAAGAUCUUGGGAAAUAAAGUAGAGAUUCUUGCCCUGGGCAAGAAUGAGAGCAAAAAUAAUAAUUAUUCAUUGUAAGUACAUUCACUGAGUUCACUGUCUGAAAUUCCAAAGACGUUAUGAAAUAAUAGUCGGCAAAUGGGCUCAAGGGAACUUUCUGGAGCGAUGGAUGUGCUCUGAAACUGAUUUGUGGGGAGGGUUGCACAACUGCAUACCUUUACCGAAAAACAUGGAACUGUACACUUAUAAUGGGUUGGCUUUACGGCACACAAAUUGUAAUUCAACAAACCUGUCAACAUUAAGAAAAAUACACUAACAAGAGUCAUAUUCCAAUAAAUUACAUUUUUAUUAUAAGCAACAUCAAAAUGCUGUUUCUCUUCCUCCUCCCCAUCCUCUUUUUCUUCCUUUUUUUUUUUUUUUUCCUUUAAGUGCAUCCAGAGCAUGUAGCUAACAGCGAUGCCUUCUAAAACAGUGGUUCUCAACCUUGGCUGCACAUUAGAAUC
This is a long non-coding RNA of Myotis daubentonii (Daubenton's bat), 1134 nucleotides long. RefSeq lists it as uncharacterized. The record is from RefSeq and is a predicted model, not a curated record. Lineage: Eukaryota; Metazoa; Chordata; Mammalia; Chiroptera; Vespertilionidae.